UUGUUGGUAAGGUAAAAGCUUACCAAGGCUUCGAUCAGUAGCUGGUCUGAGAGGACGACCAGCCACACUGGGACUGAGACACGGCCCAGACUCCUACGGGAGGCAGCAGUGGGGAAUUUUGGACAAUGGGGGCAACCCUGAUCCAGCCAUGCCGCGUGAGUGAAGAAGGCCUUCGGGUUGUAAAGCUCUUUCAGCCGGAACGAAACGGUUACGGAUAACACCCGUGACUACUGACGGUACCGGAAGAAGAAGCACCGGCUAACUACGUGCCAGCAGCCGCGGUAAUACGUAGGGUGCGAGCGUUAAUCGGAAUUACUGGGCGUAAAGCGUGCGCAGGUGGUUUUGUAAGUCAGAUGUGAAAGCCCCGGGCUCAACCUGGGAACUGCGUUUGAAACUACAAGACUAGAGUGUGGCAGAGGGGGGUGGAAUUCCGCGUGUAGCAGUGAAAUGCGUAGAGAUGUGGAGGAACACCGAUGGCGAAGGCAGCCCCCUGGGUCAACACUGACGCUCAGGCACGAAAGCAUGGGGAGCAAACAGGAUUAGAUACCCUGGUAGUCCAUGCCCUAAACGAUGUCAACUAGUUGUCGGGCCUUUACGGGCUUGGUAACGUAGCUACGCGUGAAGUUGACCGCCUGGGGAGUACGAUCGCAAGAUUAAAACUCAAAUGAAUUGACGGGGACCCGCACAAGCAGUGGAUUAUGUGGAUUAAUUCGAUGCAACGCGAAAAACCUUACCUACCCUUGACAUGUAUCGAAGCCCGCAGAAAAGCGGGGGUGCCCGAAAGGGAACGAUAACACAGGUGCUGCAUGGCUGCCGUCAGCUCGUGUCGUGAGAUGUUGGGUUAAGUCCCGCAACGAGCGCAACCCUUGUCAUUAAUUGCCAUCAUUUAGUUGGGCACUUUAAUGAGACUGCCGG
Molecule: ribosomal RNA, 915 nt
Filed under: uncultured bacterium
Lineage: Bacteria
Description: bacterial SSU rRNA
Rfam family: Bacterial small subunit ribosomal RNA
Source: RNAcentral